This 339-nucleotide unclassified non-coding RNA is filed under the name soil metagenome. Its description in RNAcentral is "partial contains 5.8S ribosomal RNA, internal transcribed spacer 2, and large subunit ribosomal RNA". The stretch from base 1 to 121 matches the Rfam family "5.8S ribosomal RNA", at positions 35 to 154 of the family's 154-position model. The record is from RNAcentral.
GAUGAAGAACGCAGCGAAUUGCGAUAAGUAAUGUGAAUUGCAGAUUUUCAGUGAAUCAUCGAAUCUUUGAACGCACAUUGCGCCCGGUAGUAUUCUGCCGGGCAUGCCUGUUCGAGCGUCAUUUCAACCAUCAAGCCCCAGCGCUUGUGUUGGGGGCCUGCGGCUGCCGCAGCCCCCUAAAAGCAGUGGCGGGCUCGCUAUCACACCGAGUGCAGUAGUUCAUCUUCUCUCCGGUCUUGUGAGGCGGGUUCCGGCCGUGAAACACCCCACUACAUUCAAGGUUGACCUCGGAUCAGGUAGGAAUACCCGCUGAACUUAAGCAUAUCAAUAAGCGGAGGA